Molecule: ribosomal RNA, 490 nt
Filed under: uncultured bacterium
Lineage: Bacteria
Description: partial 16S ribosomal RNA
Rfam family: Bacterial small subunit ribosomal RNA
Source: RNAcentral
AUUGAACGCUGGCGGCAGGCCUAACACAUGCAAGGCGAACGGUAACAGGAAGCAGCUUGCUGCUUCGCUGACGAGUGGCGGACGGGUGAGUCAUGUCUGGGAAGCUGCCUGAUGGAGGGGGAUAACUACUGGAAACGGUAACUAAUACCGCAUACUGUCGCAAGACCAAAGAGGGUGACCUUCGGGCCCCUUGCCAUCUGAUGUGCCCGGAUGGUAUUAGAUUGUUGGUGGGGUAACGGCUCACCAAGGCGACGAUCCCUCGCUGGUCUCAGAGGAUGACAAGCCACACUGGAGCUGAGACACGGUCCAGACGCCUACGGGAGGCAGCAGUGGGGAAUAGUGGACAAUGGGCGCAAGCAUGAUGCAGCGAGGCCGCGUGUAUGAAGAAGGCCUUCGGGUUGUAAAGUACUUUCAGCGGGGAGGAAGGGAGUAAAGUUAAGGCCUUGGCUCAUUGACGUUACCCGCAGAAGAAGCACCGGCUAACUCCGUG